This 484-nucleotide ribosomal RNA is filed under the name uncultured bacterium. Its description in RNAcentral is "partial 16S ribosomal RNA". It matches the Rfam family "Bacterial small subunit ribosomal RNA", at positions 28 to 507 of the family's 1533-position model. The record is from RNAcentral.
AUUGAACGCUGGCGGCAUGCUUUACACAUGCAAGUCGAACGGCAGCGCGGGCUUCGGCCUGGCGGCGAGUGGCGAACGGGUGAGUAAUGCAUCGGAACGUGCCCAGUAGUGGGGGAUAGCCCGGCGAAAGCCGGAUUAAUACCGCAUACGACCUGAGGGUGACAGCGGGGGACCGAAAGGCCUCGCGCUAUUUGCGCGGCCGAUGUCGGAUUAGCUAGUUGGUGGGGUAAAGGCUUACCAAGGCGACGAUCCGUAGCUGGUCUGAGAGGACGACCAGCCACACGGGGACUGAGACACGGCCCAGACUCCGACGGGAGGCAGCAGUGGGGAAUUGGGGACAAUGGGGGCAACCCGGAUCCAGCCAGGCCGCGGGCGGGAAGAAGGCCUUCGGGUUGUAAACCGCUUUUGUUCGGGAAGAAAUCCUCUGGGCGAAUACCCCGGGGGGAUGACGGUACCGGAAGAAUAAGCACCGGCUAACUACGUG